GGAUAAGGUGAGGAGCGGUCGAUCGGAUAAGGAGGGGAGGGAAAAGGAAAAUAAGGGGAUAAGAAAAGAAAAAGAAAAGAAAAAAGAAAAAGAAAAGAGAGAAAAAAUAUAAGGGUAUUUUGGACAUUUGACAUCUUCUUUACAUUAGGAAAAGCUGUUUUGUCAAACGUUUUCGUAUAAAAUAAGUUAGAGCCAGAAAAAGCUGCUUUUCC
This 212-nucleotide long non-coding RNA is filed under the name Setaria italica (foxtail millet). RNAcentral describes it as "long non-coding RNA (SITA_LNC001537)". The record is from RNAcentral. Lineage: Eukaryota; Viridiplantae; Streptophyta; Magnoliopsida; Poales; Poaceae.